AAAAAGGGCUUCUGUCUUGAGUGGCAAAUGUAAGGCACCUCGCUUGCUCUUCACACGGAAUCGAUAUUAAGAGAUUUCAGAAAUAAUUUUUGCUGCUUGGGCAGCUA
This 107-nucleotide small nuclear RNA is filed under the name Dasypus novemcinctus (nine-banded armadillo). RNAcentral describes it as "U11 spliceosomal RNA (ENSDNOG00000029972.1)". It matches the Rfam family "U11 spliceosomal RNA", at positions 1 to 110 of the family's 134-position model. The record is from RNAcentral. Lineage: Eukaryota; Metazoa; Chordata; Mammalia; Cingulata; Dasypodidae.